GACGAACGCUGGCGGCGUGCUUAAUACAUGCAAGUCGAGCGGUAAGGCCCUUUCGGGGGUACACGAGCGGCGAACGGGUGAGUAACACGUGGGUGACCUGCCCUUAGCUCUGGGAUAAGCCUGGGAAACUGGGUCUAAUACCGGAUAUGACCUCAUGGUGCAUGGUGUGGGGUGGAAAGUGUUUGCGGCUAGGGAUGGGCCCGCGGCCUAUCAGCUUGUUGGUGGGGUGAUGGCCUACCAAGGCGACGACGGGUAGCCGGCCUGAGAGGGUGAUCGGCCACACUGGGACUGAGACACGGCCCAGACUCCUACGGGAGGCAGCAGUAGGGAAUUUUGCGCAAUGGGCGGAAGCCUGACGCAGCGACGCCGCGUGAGGGAUGACGGCCUUCGGGUUGUAAACCUCUUUCAGCCCUGACGAAGCGAGAGUGACGGUAGGGGUAGAAGAAGCACCGGCCAACUACGUGCCAGCAGCCGCCGUAAUAC
This 483-nucleotide ribosomal RNA is filed under the name uncultured bacterium. RNAcentral describes it as "bacterial SSU rRNA". It matches the Rfam family "Bacterial small subunit ribosomal RNA", at positions 28 to 526 of the family's 1533-position model. The record is from RNAcentral.